Molecule: long non-coding RNA, 2423 nt
Organism: Equus caballus (horse)
Lineage: Eukaryota; Metazoa; Chordata; Mammalia; Perissodactyla; Equidae
Source: Ensembl
CUUGGGCCCGCGGGCUGCUUGGAGAGAGUCCGUUCUAGCGCGUCUCAAACUCUUAUUAAUCGCCCGGUGUCUGCGCUAGGAUGGAUCAACGGGAAACGGGUAAUUCCAACACAAUCCGGAGACAGGAAUGCCCCCAGAAGCAAAGGGACAAAGAGGGGCGGCCUAAAUCAGGGUGGUGCGCUCGUCAGUGUUUAACACCCGGCCUCUGAUUUGCAAGUUUAUUGGCAGACCAGUGUAUCUAACAUGGCUGGACGUGUUACUGGAACAUCCAGGUGGAGAUGCCCAGCGGGCAGUUGGACAUGAGGAAGCCUCAAGCUCAUACCUCCAGGCUGGAGAUUGAUGAGGAGUCUUCAGCAGUUUACACAAGAUGAGGCUCUGAACGUGGAUACUGACACGCGAGUGACUGAAAGCACAGGCAGAAGAGGGGCCUGUGGGGCCUGGAAAGGAGCCAUCCCAGAGACAGGGGAACCAGGAGAGGGCCGUGGAGACCAAGAGCCUGUGGACUUGUUCCCUCCAACACCUGCAGGGAGGCUGCUGGCCUGGAUACAGGUUUCUAGACAAGGGAAAGGGCAAAUCACCUCACUCUCAGGACCUUUUCAUCAGCUGUAACAUAAAAGGACCUACAGGCAAGAGGAGGGGAGAGAGGCUGGAGGACUGAGUCCGUGCAGCCCUCCCUGCCCCCUCCACUCCCUGCCCCUCAACCGCAGCAGCUCUGCCUUCCUGUUGCCAUGUUCCCUUUCACCUCACAUUGGAAAAGUAGCCAGAGCAUAAACUACUAAACUAAAUGGAUCUCUGAAGCCCACCUAAAAAUCUGGUAUUGCCACCAUGUCCCCCAGCUUUAAUGACCAUCUCCAGGCUGGCAGUGGUCAGAUUUCUGUUUUCAGUCGAGAGGAGUACUCCAGCAUCUCCAGCUGCCUGUAAGCCGUCUCUAUUUACAUGUCUUGACAUCAGGUCAAACUCAACUGUCUGAAACUAAAUUUAUCGUCCCUAAAAGAGCUCCUCUGCCUAGCUUCCCUCUUUUACUCAUAGGCACCCCAUUUAUGCCAGUUUCCAAUUCUCCUUGCUCCCCAGCUCCUCCCUCUCCAAAUCUGUCACCUCUAUGUCUUUCAAGUCUUUUAUCCCCCUCCUCUGCCUAGGGACAGGGCCCUUCCACUCUCCUGAAGUACCCCUCGAUUGCUGCCUCUCUUUUUCUCCCCAUGCCCACCGUCCAUGACAAGGCCUGCCUUAUUUGGGUGAAACUGCCAUAGGCAACUCUUAACUGGCCUCUCCAUCAGCAGCUUAUCCUCCAAGCACUCCGCCUGAGUGUUAGGGGAGUUAGUCUGGGGGACAGGAGUUCAAGUUUGGGAGUGAGGUAGAUACACAAACGACUAUGUGGGGAUCAGAAUUGGCCACCCCAAAAUGUGUCUCUGUGGCUUAUUUUUAAGGACAAAAGACUGAAACUGUGACCUUCCCUCUUACUGCCUAAAAGAUUUUAAGGUAAAAGGCUUGAGCUCUCUCGCGUCACUUUCCCCAACAUCCUCCUAUGUCUUUAGCUUAAGAUGGUAUUUAAGGUGGUGGCUUCAGCCAUUUUGGCAAGUUACUCAGUUUUCCUGGGUUUCCCCCAUGUAUACACGUUAUUAAAUUUUGUUUGAUUUUCUCCUGUUAUUCUGUCUCAUGUCAAUUUAAUUCUUAGACCAGCCAGAAGGACCUAGAGGGGAGAGGAAUUGUCUUUCUCCCCUACAACUAAUAGUAGUCAGAGAUGAGGGGUUGAAAAUCAGGAGGAAGAACUGGAAUCGUCUGCACGAGAAUAAGAGCAGAAACUCUUUAACAGUGGAUGAGAUCCUACAAGGAGAAUGCGUGACACUGCAAAAGACAAAGGAGCAGACUUGAGAAUUACCGUAUUGGGUUUAGAGCCUUGCAUACAGAGGGAGUCCCAGGGGAUAUGCACGUGCAUGUGUGUGAAAACACACACCACACACAUAGAUACAUAUAAUUGUUUCCAAAUUUCUGAUGAAGUUGUCUACAAAUCAGAAGAACUGAGUUCGAAACUUUGCCCCAUCACCUAAGGCCAUGUGACUUUGGGCAAAUUUAUUUAACAUAAGGAUAGCAAUGUAAUAUAGCUACAUGGGCUAGAAAGGUCUGUGGAGUGAAGCUGGCAACUCAAAGAGAAAAAAGUACAGUGAAUUGAAACAGGCCCCUGGCUCUGGCCUCCUGUUUCCAGGCCAGCAUCCAGCAAAGAAGUCAGGUGUAGCGUAGCACCUAUGACCAUGCACUCUGGAAUUAGAUUGUUCUUAAAUCCUGGCUCUACCACUGAUUUGCUGUAUGAUCUUAUUCUCUCCAUGCCUUUAUUUCUCCAUCUGUAAUAUGGAGAUAAUAGCACACAUAUAACAUUGUUGGGAGAAUCACAAAACAUUAUAAGUGCUUGGAAGCUACUUGGCACUGAG